This 465-nucleotide ribosomal RNA is filed under the name Vreelandella stevensii. RNAcentral describes it as "partial 16S ribosomal RNA". It matches the Rfam family "Bacterial small subunit ribosomal RNA", at positions 338 to 795 of the family's 1533-position model. Lineage: Bacteria; Pseudomonadati; Pseudomonadota; Gammaproteobacteria; Oceanospirillales; Halomonadaceae. The record is from RNAcentral.
CCUACGGGUGGCUGCAGUGGGGAAUAUUGGACAAUGGGGGGAACCCUGAUCCAGCCAUGCCGCGUGUGUGAAGAAGGCCCUCGGGUUGUAAAGCACUUUCAGUGAGGAAGAACGCCUGGUGGUUAAUACCCAUCAGGAAAGACAUCACUCACAGAAGAAGCACCGGCUAACUCCGUGCCAGCAGCCGCGGUAAUACGGAGGGUGCGAGCGUUAAUCGGAAUUACUGGGCGUAAAGCGCGCGUAGGUGGCUUGAUAAGCCGGUUGUGAAAGCCCCGGGCUCAACCUGGGAACGGCAUCCGGAACUGUCAAGCUAGGGUGCAGGAGAGGAAGGUAGAAUUCCCGGUGUAGCGGUGAAAUGCGUAGAGAUCGGGAGGAAUACCAGUGGCGAAGGCGGCCUUCUGGACUGACACUGACACUGAGGUGCGAAAGCGUGGGUAGCAAACAGGAUUAGAUACCCUUGUAGUC